GUGCUCCCUUUGGUGGCACAUACACUAAAAUUAGAACAAUACAGAGAAGAUUAGCACGGCCCCUGUGCAAGAUGACAUGCAAAUUCACAAAGCAUUCCAUAUUUUU
Cervus hanglu yarkandensis (Yarkand deer) is the source of this 106-nucleotide small nuclear RNA. NCBI's taxonomy places the organism in Eukaryota, Metazoa, Chordata, Mammalia, Artiodactyla, Cervidae. The record is from Ensembl.